Molecule: non-coding RNA, 3114 nt
Organism: Taeniopygia guttata (zebra finch)
Lineage: Eukaryota; Metazoa; Chordata; Aves; Passeriformes; Estrildidae
Source: RefSeq, a predicted model, not a curated record
GGACAUACAACUAUAGGACAAGUACAGAGGUCUGAAGGACAGCUAUGUCAACAAGGAAGCAAUGCAGGAACAAAAACCUGAAUCAAUGUUCAGUCAGAUCCUUUAAUUAUGCAGCUCAUUUUUGUUUUUUGCACCCUUUGCAUUGCCUGCCUGCAGUGAUGGUACAUCUACUGGAAUUCCCUGUGUAUCGUGCUGAUCCUUGUUCUUCCCAAGACAAGGCAACCCAAGCCUUCCUGUUGGAAAUGCCUGGAAAUGUUUACAAAGCACUCACCAAAAGCAUUCAGAAGGAAGACUCGGCACAAUUUCAGUGCUGGCAUGCCAAUGUGGGCUCCUCUGUUUCCUGCUUCCCUUGCAUCCCUGGCAGCCUCUGUGGAGUUUGUCAGCCAAGAUCACACUUAGUUCCUCACCUUGAUGAUACUGAGGCUGUCACAGCCAGCUUUUCCACAUGCAUAUCUUUCUCUUGGGUUUAGGUGGCAAGGUAAUAUUAAAACGAGGCCAGAGAAGUGCACAUAUUUCCAAGUCUAUCAUCACUGAACCAGAAGUAACAAACCCCUGGGAGCCCUGGAAGGGGAAACAUUCAUCCUUUCUGAGUCAGCCAGUCACACAGGGUUCAAGACUGGUGCUCAGACUUCCAGAAAUCAGAGAAUCAUGGAAUCACAGAACGGUUUGGGUUGGAACGGGUCUCAAAACUCAUCUCAUUCCGAGCCCCUGCCAUGGGCAGAGACACCUUCCAUAGACCAGGUUGCUCCAAGCCCCAAGAAACAUUUAAUUCACAACUUGAAAUAUCUUUUUAGUAAUGUUUAUAUUUCAAAUCCAUGUCAUGAAAGCCAGUGGCAAAAGGUCUUAUUCAUGGAGUGUUACUGACUCUAAUUGCUUGUAAAAAGAACUGUGUAAACAAUGGGAUAUUUUGUUUGCUAAGAAUUCAUUAAAAAUUACUCAGCUCAAAAUAACCAGAACAAGUGCAUUAAAAAUAAAUCACUCUCUUCAAAAGCUUUAUUUUAAAGCCAUAUUCUUAAUUAAGAAUACUUGAAAUAAAAAAAGAGAAGAAAAAUAUAUUCUUUAAAAUUCUGAGACUAAACUUAAAUCCUAUCAGAGCAUUCCUUGUUUCUUUCCAGUGCCAACAAAUGAAAACAUCUGUUUUGCUCAAGCCCGUAUUUUUGUCCUUGCCCCGCACAGAAAGAUAAAAAAUAAGGCAUUAAUUUUUCAUUUCUUUCUCCCUGUGGUGCUUCCAGAGGCAGGAGUUAAGUGGCCAGCAAUGCCUCCCAGCCUGUCAGGAGUGAUGCUUUUUUAGGCCAGAGAGAACCUUUGGUCUCCUACAUAGCAAGAGCGUGACAGAAUCACUGAGCUAUCAAAUCAGUUAUUCUGCCAACAUCUUUCUGGUUCACUGAGGAGUAAAUGAAUCCCACCUAAGAGUGCUCCAGCAGCAGAGGCAGAGAGAGCACACACACUGCCCUGCUCGGGCAGCAAGGUGCUUGCCAGGAGUGUCAGUCAUGGAUAAAUAAUUCCUUUCCUUUGGGGAACCUUCAAGGAUUUACUUCUGCCAGCUCUGGGACAGCAGCAGCCAGAGAGCUUCUCCAGGGGGAGGGAACAAGGCCUGGGGCGGGUGCAGCAGCUCCACAGUGGAUCUCCACAAUCCACCAGAGGCCACGCAAGUCUGGGACUGGCACCAGCUUCUGCAGCCAGCACUGGUCAGGAGCUGGUGGUGAGGGAGCUGCUCCAGCAGCAGGUGUUGGGACAGGCUUUAGGCCACUCUCAUCAUUUGGAAAGGAGGGAGUGAGUCUCUGGCACGACAUCACUGGUCCUUCUGCCCUCCAGAAGCUUUAUUUAUCAAAGUCCAGCAGCCCCAGUGAGAAAAUAAGAGAGGUGCAACGUGUGGUGCAGCAGAGAAUUCCACACUGACCUAAAUCUGUGCCUCCAGUUCCAGCUGCUGCAAUGAACUGCAAACCCAUGUAUUUUCUGUGUGAUUUCUCCCAGUUGAUCCUCUUUUUUUAACCUGUCCUUACAUCUUUCCUGGUUUCCACACACAUUGUUGAUCUUUUGAUUGCUUUGCUGCAGUGAUGUACCUCUGACUGCUCCAGUGUUGUCCAUUGGUUUCCCCAAGUGCUUUGACCCAGGAAUAUGUGCAGCCCUGGGGAGGGCCAAGAUUUCUGUUAAAGACCAUCUGCUCACAAAGUGAGUAUUUAAGCCCCAGAUUAGUCAGGUGUUCUGGGCACUUCCUGCCUAGGCCUCUACUCUAAGUGGCUGUUGCACUUCUUCACAAAUGAAACGUGCAUUAUUCCUAGCAGCCCUCAUGAUGAGCAGUACACACAAAUGACCUCUUGGAAGCUCUCUUGACUCAUACAAAACAUAAGAAAAUUGAAAGUCUGUAUUUGCAAGGUCAGAAAUAAAAUGAAAACAUCACUUCGGCUGUCUAAAAGUAAAGCCAUACGAAGCAAAGACCUCACUGAAUAGCAAACUCUUAAAAUAAGUACAAUUUCCUUUGCCACAAAAAAUGUUUCAGUAUAAAGUUGAAUAUAUAUUUCAUUCCACUUAGCUGUAACAUUUUGUUAAACUUCAGGAAUUUUAAGUGAACAACUUCAGUUUCUUACAGUCUUGAACUGCUCUCUUGAAAACCUUUUGGAGAAUAAAAAUGUGCCCUGGGAUGGCUUUGAAGCAUUUUGUUUGGGUCAGUGUUGAGAUCUGAUGUUCUUCAACAACAGCUAAAUUGUUUCUGUGGCCUUAAUGGAAAUCUGAAGCUCUACCCAGCAUUUAGAAUUUCACCUCAUGGACCAGAUCCUUGGCUGCCAUCCUGCCUGCUUUGGUCUGCUCAGGAGGAAUUUGGGGAAUGUACCAAAUGUUUAAACGGCAGCUACAAAUUAAGGUUUUCUUCAGCUCAAGAGGGAGCUACAAUUAAGACAUGAUUGUUGUAGGGAGAAAAAACCCUCUCAGCUGAAGUGUUUCCAAGCUACUCAUCACUUCCCUAGUGUUUCUCUUACAGAAGUUCAUCUAGUCCUGUGAUAUCAGUCUUGUAAACAAAUACUCUCUUUACGUACCUCCUGUGAUAAAAUUCAUGCUUGAUAGUUCUCUAGGAAUUGCUUGCCCCUUCUUGUCUUCUUCAGAUUGGGAAACGUGAAA